Molecule: ribosomal RNA, 497 nt
Filed under: uncultured bacterium
Lineage: Bacteria
Description: partial 16S ribosomal RNA
Rfam family: Bacterial small subunit ribosomal RNA
Source: RNAcentral
GAUGAACGCUGGCGGCGUGCCUAAUACAUGCAAGUCGAGCGAACGGACGAGAAGCUUGCUUCUCUGAUGUUAGCGGCGGACGGAUGAGUAACACGUGGAUAACCUACCUAUAAGACUGGGAUAACUUCGGGAAACCGGAGCUAAUACCGGAUAAUAUUUUGAACCGCAUGGUUCAAAAGUGAAAGACGGUCUUGCUGUCACUUAUAGAUGGAUCCGCGCUGCAUUAGCUAGUUGGUAAGGUAACGGCUUACCGAGGCAACGAUGCAUAGCCGACCUGAGAGGGUGAUCGGCCACACUGGAGCUGAGACACGGUCCAGACUCCUACGGGAGGCAGCAGUAGGGAAUCUUCCGCAAUGGGCGAAAGCCUGACGGAGCAACGCCGCGUGAGUGAUGAAGGUCUUCGGAUCGUAAAACUCUGUUAUUAGGGAAGAACAUAUGUGUAAGUAACUGUGCACAUCUUGACGGUACCUAAUCAGAAAGCCACGGCUAACUACGUG